UUCAAGAGUCACAUGCUCUACUAACUGAGCCAGCCAGGAGCCCCAAGGAGCAUACAAGUCUUACAGAGAGUGAAUGACAAGUGAAUGAAGAUAAGCAGGGCUAGGUUUUUCUGCAUCUAUGCAAGUGGAUAGAGAGCCCUUUGAAGGAGAGACUAUAACCUGAUUCAUCUGUGUACCUCCAGCCCCAGUCGUAAGGAAUAGUUAUUCUGAAGGUCCUAAACAAGAAAGGAGUACACUCCUACGAUUAUCAGAUGAAGAAGCUCCAGAGAAGAAAAUAGCCAGUCAGAAACACAGAAUCUCCUAGUUCCUGACAUGGAUUUACCCAUUAGACUUCACUAAUUCGAGGAUCUCCUUCUAGCCCCAGAACACAGGUACAUUACUAUACUUGAUUCUCUUAUCUAUGGACAAAAUGGCAUGACUUUCAAUCCAUUUGGUAA
RNAcentral lists this long non-coding RNA (437 nucleotides) under Vulpes vulpes (red fox). RNAcentral's name for it is "lncRNA (ENSVVUG00000021932.1)". The record is from RNAcentral. Lineage: Eukaryota; Metazoa; Chordata; Mammalia; Carnivora; Canidae.